UGGGGGAUAUUGCACAAUGGGCGAAAGCCUGAUGCAGCGACGCCGCGUGGGGGAUGAAGGCUUUCGGGUUGUAAACCUCUUUCGCUAUCGAACAAGGCCCGCUUAGGGUGGGUUGAGGGUAGGUGGAGAAGAAGCGCCGGCUAACUACGUGCCAGCAGCCGCGGUAAUACGUAGGGCGCGAGCGUUGUCCGGAAUUAUUGGGCGUAAAGGGCUUGUAGGCGGCUUGUUGCGCCUGCUGUGAAAACGCGGGGCUUAACUUCGCGCGUGCAGUGGGUACGGGCAGGCUUGAGUGUGGUAGGGGUGACUGGAAUUCCAGGUGUAGCGGUGGAAUGCGCAGAUAUCUGGAGGAACACCGAUGGAGAAGGCAGGUCACUGGGCCAUUACUGACGCUGAGGAGCGAAAGCAUGGGUAGCGAACAGG
This 420-nucleotide ribosomal RNA is filed under the name bacterium. Its description in RNAcentral is "partial 16S ribosomal RNA". It matches the Rfam family "Bacterial small subunit ribosomal RNA", at positions 355 to 776 of the family's 1533-position model. The record is from RNAcentral.